CCUAGAUUUCAGAACAUCUGCCACUUGUUACCUUGCUGCUCCAGCAAUGCAUAUGUUUCAGGAUCCUGAGAUAGAUGUUCCAUAGACCCAAGGGCUAGGGCAGCAUGGAUCAUAAUGUGACAUAAAUUACGACUAGAGAUCAAAGACUACUUGGACAGAACCAUGUAGGACAGCCCUGCAGAACCUACCUGCCCCUUGGACCUUCUUAAUGGAGAUUGAGAGAAACCCAGAUUAUAAUACAGCCCUCCAAGAUCUGAACUUCCCCUACAAACCCAAUCUAAGAGACAGUCUCCCAGCCCUCAGGACCACAGAGGCCUGCCCAAGCUGGAAGAAGCAAUUGCAAAGGAAGUCCUUCU
Molecule: long non-coding RNA, 356 nt
Organism: Mauremys mutica (yellowpond turtle)
Lineage: Eukaryota; Metazoa; Chordata; Testudines; Geoemydidae
Exons: 3
Source: RefSeq, a predicted model, not a curated record